AACUUUGGAGAUAAAUCGGUUUUCUGAGUUGGAGGUGACAAAUCCCACUCCCAAUGUCCCCUCGAGCACAGUCAGGAGCUCGGUCGCACGAGGAUGGGUGUGAGGAGGAUUCAAGCCCCCAGGUUGAAAGUCGAUGCGAACUAGGGAGAUUCCAAGAGUGUUAAGACCAGGGAUUUGUACAACAUUUACUGGUGUAACAAUUGACCCGACCCGGCUUUUGCUGUUAUUUGCCUUGUCGAGACCAGAGAAGAAGAAGUCUUUCUCAGUGACGUACUUUGGGUUCUUGCACACUAAUCCAUUCACCAACACUGUACACGUAUAUAUAUUGAAGAUUAAUAGAUGAGAAAAUUAUCCUAUAUAUAUGUCAAGAAAUAAAAUUUGUUCAUAUAUACUUAGUUACUUACCCUUAGAUGCAUGGUCAGCAACACAGAAAUCUUGAAGAGGGCUUGGAUCAGAAGCCAUGGCUGAAGAAGCAAUUGCUAUUGCCACAGCAAAAAACAAAAUGACAAGUUUGGAAUCCAUUGUCAUAUAUUUUUCUAUCUAGUUUGGGAGUGCAUGUAACUUUGAUGGAUUCAUUGUAUUUAUAGAUGAAAACUGGGUAGAAUUAUCUUGAACAAAUCAAAUCUAAUAUAGUAAGAUUUGGUCAAUUUGAAAAUUUACAAAGUUCUAAUUAUCUUGAAGUUUUCUUAUUUUCAUCAAUAACACAUGAAUCGUUGAAUAAUCAUUCAUUAUUAACAAGUUGGACAAAAAAGUACACGUUUUCUUUAUAUACAUUUUAAAAUAUAUUUUGACUUUUAAUUAUCUAUUCAAAUGAAAUUUAUUUUGACUUUUAAUGAAAUUUAUUUUGAUUAGAUAAUAAAAAGUCAAAAAAAAAACACAGUUAAAUCGAUUUAAAAAGCAUAGUUAAAAAAGUACAUUUUUGUUAGAGAUGAGAACAGGGCGGGUCGUCCCGUUCUGCGUCUCGGUGUUAACCGGAGUCAGGGAUGAAUUUCUACCCUAUUUUUAUAUAUUUGCCCCGUCGGUUUUUCGGGGCGAGUCUCAGGGCGAGGAAAAUCAUAAAAACCCUUUUGAUUUUGGCUCACCCCGUUAUGCUUCUUUUGAUUUUAAUUUUCAAGGCGAGUCUUGGAGCAACCUGAUGCGAUCACACUGAACCAGGGAAGGAUCGUGGAGGAUCUAGAAGCAAUGACAGGUAUGGACGUUAGUGAAAGUGUAGAGGAAGAAGAGGGAAUUCAUCAAUCUGAAUUUGAGGAGAAUCGCCCUACCCGACUGAAGACCCGGCUCAAGAAGUAUCAAGGCUUUAUUACCAACUAUCGGCCCAAGAGUUAAUUAAAUCCAGAUUACCUUAUCUUUUAAAUUCGAUUUCUUUCUAUUUUUAUUUUAAUUAAUUGCUAUUUGUAAUUUCGUUAUUUUGGGAACUGUAUCCAUACAGUAUUUAAAUUGUUGUAAACACUUUUAUUUGGUAAUUAAUUAAAUAAUUUCCCUACUCCACCAUUUUCAUCGAACGUGAAAGUUGAGUACGAUUCCGCAACCAUCUCCGACGAUCAACUCCGUCUUGUAUAGCCAUAUAUAGUAGUUCUUCAAGGUAGCUUAACAGCAUUACCUUGAAUAGCUUAAGACUUGAUUUCAGGACCUUGUGUCCGCCGUCUCCGUCUCAUUUAUUCUUAGAUUUCGAUCUAAGAAUCCGAGACGCCAUCUCAUUCCAGGUUAAUUCUUUCUUGGCAUCCUUUAUCGAAUUUUAUCUAAGGGUGGCAAUAACAUACACGAUUCGUAAAAACACACGACACGACACGAUUUUAACACGACACAGGUUAAGUUCGAGCCCAGGAUCGCGGACUCGAGCUUGCGAGCCCGGCUCUAUAAGAAAAAGCUCGGCUCGUUUGAUACCCUAGUCGUAUCGUGUUCGUAUCGUGUCGUUUUGACACGAAUUUCGUGUCGUGUCAUUCGUGUUGUGUCGACCCGGAUUCAAGCGUGUUCGUGUUAUUUUUUUUGACACGGGUAGUUUUCGUGUCGACGAAAAAAUUAGUCGUGUCGUGUAAACAUGAAUUGCCAUGCCUAAUUUUAUCCCCAUUAUUUAGUGCUUUCAAUACUGUACUCAUUUACCAGGAAAAAAAAUCAGCAAUGGAAAUUAUAAACAAUCCGGAUUUCCAAAGACUUCAAGCACUCCAAAUGGCUCAAGGGAAAGAACUCACAGAGUUUAGGGUGGUGAUAUCUAAAUCCAUAGAAGAUCUUGCUGCACAAAUCGUAAAUCUUUGUUCAAGGGAGAUAACAAAAAAGAAAAAUUAAGAACCAGAUCCAUCAGGUACAAAAAAAUGCAAGUUUAAUGAUCAAAGCUAUUUUUCUAUGGUAGAUCUAGAUAUGCCCGAUUAUGCAAAGAGUUUUAGAGAAAAUGAAGAAGAACCACAGAAGGGCGUGAAAGUCUUUAUGCCUAAGUUUGAUGGAACUGAGGCUGAAGAAUGGUUAUAUCAAGUCAGAAGAUUCUUCAUAUAUAACAGAACCCCAGAGGAUCAGAAGUUGCUUAUAGUCUCUUUUCAUGUAGAAGGAAUGGCUAGAAAGUGGUUUGCAUGGAUAGAAGCUAGUGGGUACUUGUCAGACUGGAAAGCUUUUGUGAUAUCAGUUCAAAGAAAAUUAUGCAGUUCACAGUAUGUGCUACCAGGAGAUAAGCUGAGCAAAUUAUUACAGACAUCCUUAGUUGUUGAUUAUAUAACCAAAUUCGAAGAUAUGUGCACAAGGUGUUUGGGACUUCCAGAUUAUUUCAUACUCGAGAUGUUCAUAUCUGGCCUGAAAGAGGAUAUUCUAACAGUGGUAGUCAAAGUCAAACCCGAGGGUUUACAAGAGGCUUUUGAUGUAGCAUUACUAGUGGAAGAGCAAUCUGGACCUAGAUCUUAUGGAAUUAAAUCAUGGUUCAACAAACCUUAUAAACCAGCAUGGUCUGGAAAUAUUCAAAAUACAAUCACAAGUAAAGAUAGCCAACCAAGCAAUAAAACAACAGUUCCUACUACAACCUUCAGAAGAUUAUCUCAAGAAGAAAGGAAAGAAAGAACUACCAAGGGAUUAUGCUUCAAUUAUGAUGAGAAAAUUACAAGAGGACAUAAGUACAAAGGUAAAUUAUUCAUGUUAUCAUCUGAUGAAUCUUAUUUUGUAGAAAUUGAAGGUCAAGAGGAGGCUGAAUUCGAGAGAGAAGAGGCAGAAGAAAUUACUAAUGAGAUCAACGAAGAGAUUCUAUCUGGAAUCAGUAUGCAUGCAUUUGAAGGACAUAUGAGCCCAAGUACUAUCAGGCUAGAAGAAUCUAUAAAGAGUCAGGCAGUAAGUAUUUUGAUAGAUUCAAGCUCUACCCAUAAUUUUAUGUAGUUAAAAGUGGCAAUAGAUCUCCAACUGACCAUCCAUGCUAUUCAAUCCUUUAAUGUUUCCACUAGUGGAGGAGAGAAAUUGAUCUAUAAUAGAAUAUGUAAGGCUGUGAGGAUGAAGAUACAGGGAAUAGAGGUUUCUGUGGACUUGUUUCUAAUUCCAAUGUCUGGCUCAAAUGUGAUAUUGGGGAUUCAGUGGUUGAAGAAAGUGGGGGAUAUUUUAUCUAAUGAUGAAAAGCUCACCAUGAGGUUUAAAUUAAAUGGCAUGGAGGUAUUGUAGCAAGAUUUAUCAUGGUUAUCCCAAGAUCCAAUGAGUUCGGGAGAAUUAAAGAGUUUAGUGGGUGAGACCAAAGAAGCCUUCUCAUGUUAUUUUGAGAUAGCAGAAAAAAAUAAAAAUUCAGAAAAUUUGAAGGUCAGUAAUCCCAAAAUUCAUGAAGUGGUAGCAAAUUUCAGUGAUAUUUUUGUAGACCCAACAAGACUUCCACCACAUAGAGAAAAGGAUCAUAUGAUUCAUUUGAUCUCAGGGGAAAAACCAGUGAAUGUUAGGCCUUACAAAUACCCACAAUUUCAAAAAAAUGAAAUUGAGAAGCUUAUUUCUGAGAUGUUAAAAUAGGAAACUAUCAAACUUAGCUCUAGCCCUUACUCUUCUCCAGUAUUAUUGAUAAAAAAAGAAAGAUCGGGAUUACAAGAUGUGUGUAGAUUAUAGGGCACUUAAUGCAUUGACGAUUAAGGAUAAAUUCCCUAUCCUGACAGUGGAUGAGUUAUUAGGAGAACUCAAGGGUGCUACUAUAUUUUCAAAAUUGGAUCUAAGAUCAGGAUUCCAUCAGAUAAGAGUGUGUCCUUCAGAUACAUAACACAAACAACCUUCAAAACCCACAAAGUUCAUUUUGAAUUUCUAGUAAUGCCAUUUGGCCUAACAAAUACCCCAACAACAUUUCAAUCAAUCAUGAACUUUGUUUUUUCCAGAAGUAUCUAAGAAAAUUUGUAAUAGUAUUCUUUGAUGACAUCCUUAUCUACAGUCCAUCAUUGUCAGACCAUUUAUCUCAUCUGGAGAGUGUUUUGAAACCUUAAGAAAGAACCAAUUUCUGGCCAAGUUAUCCAAAUGCUCAUUUGGUCAAAGUUCUGUAGGAUUCUUAGGUCAUAUAAUUAUUGUAGAUGGAGUUCAUUCUGACCCAGAGAAAAUACAGGCAAUGUUAGAAUGGAAGGCCCUCAAAACAAUCAAAUUAUUGAGGGGAUUUCUGGGCCUUACAGGAUACUACAAAAGGUUUAUUACAAAUUAUGAUAGUAUAGCUUCUCCAAUGACCAAUUUACUAAAAAAGACAAUUUCAUAUGGAAUGAAGCAGCUGAAGAAAGUUUCAAGGAGCUGAAAAAAGCUAUGACAACUGCUCAUGUCCUAGCCUUUCCUGAUUUCAUAGUACAGUUUGAAGUGGAGACAGAUGCUUGUGGUCAUGGGGUUGGAGCAGUCUUGAUUCAAAAAAAUCAUCCUAUAGCGUUUUAUAGUUGCAAAAUUUCUGAGAGAAUGAUGGGUGCAUCAGUUUAUGUAAAGGAAAUAUAUGCAAUAACCCAGUCUGUUAAAAAAUGGAGACACUACUUGUUAGGUUCUAAAUUCAUCAUUAGGACUGAUCAUAGGAGCCUCAAAAAUCUACUCACUCAAGUAAUACAAACACAUGAGAAACAAGUUUUCCUCUAUAAGUUGUUAGGUUUUUAUUUUUCAAUUAUAUACAGACCAGGAAAAUUCAAUGUGGUUGUUGAUGCUUUAUCUAGAUCAAUGGGGGAAUAUUCAGAAAUUGAAAUUUUAUUUUCACAAUCAUAUGAAAAGGAGGUUGGAUCAUUAUUAGCAUUAUCUAUUCCAAUAAAUUCUUUGGUGGAAAGAAUUAAAUUAAAGAAUCAGAAUAAUGAAGAAUUGAAGAGUUUGAUAGACAAAAUUUGAGAAGAAACCGUAUCAAUUUGGGGAAUUCUCUGUUAUAAAUGGCUUAAUAAGAUACAAAGACAGAAUCUAUCUAAAGGAAGAUUCCAACUUCAUUCCACAUAUUUUAGCAGAAUACCACGGAUCCCUAUUGGGGGGUCACUCUGGAAUUGUGAGGAUAUUAAAGAGAAUUUCAACAUUAAUUUGGUGGAAGCACAUGAGGGAGUCAGUGACUUCUUUUGUUCAGAAGUGCAUCAUUUGUCAGAAAAUGAAAUCCUUUAACCACAAGCUGGGUCUACUAAUGCACAACCAAUUCCAUCUAAGGUAUGGCAUGAUAUUUCCAUGGAUUUUAUUACACAUUUAGUUAGGGUUAGGGUUAGGCUUUCUCAUUCUCUCUCACUUUGUAGUCUAGGUUUAGUACGUAGGGUAAAGUAUAUCUUCCAUUGAGACAUGUUGUAUUAAUAGGAUAUCAGUUGUCCCUUGGGGCCGGGCCUCAAUGUUAAUGGGUCGUUAGGCGGGCCGGCCUGGACCAGAGCCAGGUUGGAUCUGGGUACGUUCCUGGUCCCUCGUGUCGGGUCGAUUGAUAUGUAUCGGGCCGUAUCGGAUCAUGGGGUGUUCUUGGGCUCUGCCUCCGUUGCUUGUGACGAUAUCUCCGAUUCCUCCUUCUUUCUAGAGAUUCCUUGGAUCAAGAUCGCCGCCUACGGUCCCUUCUCCUAUCCCUUCUGACGAUGGGAGAUCAGGAUGGGUUGUAAGAUCGGUACAUCAUGAGGACAUCUGGUCAUGAGCCCCUCAUCCAUUAUAACAAUGCCGAUCAGGCAAGAUCUUUCCCAAGGUCUCUAAUUACCUUCGGCGUUCGUUUCUCUUCCUUAUUUUCACCAAUUCUCAAGGAGUUCAUUCCUUACCGGAUCUCGGCAUCUCGGAUUGCCUUUCUGUUGCUCGCCAUCAAAAAGUUGCGUAUGUGCUCACGUUGGGUUCACCACUGAUGACGUAUGGCCGAAAAGUGGACCUAUACAAUCGGGUUAUGGAUUCUCAUUCUCUCUCACUUUGUAGUCUAGGUUUAGUAGGUAGGGUAAAGUAUAUCUUCCAUUGAUACAUGUUGUAUUAAUAUCUCUAAGUUGUCCCUUGGUGCCGGGCCUCAAUGUUAAUGUGUCGUCAGGCGGGCCGGGCCUAGGCCAGAGCUGGGUUGGAUCUGGGGACGUUCUUGGUCCUUCGUGUCGGGUCGUUCAGUAUGUAUCGGGCUGUAUCGGAUCAUGGGGUGUUCUUGGGUUCUCGUAAUAGGCCGGGUCUACUGAUGUUAUUUCUAGAACAUUCUAGUGGGCCAAGAGUAUCAUCAGUUACGAUUAAAGUUCUUCCUAGUUCUCAAAUAGUGAGAGCGAUCUCACAUUAAACUGACCCUAAUAUUUAAAUCUUCACUUUGAAAAAUGAAAACAUAUAUCCAAUUUCGUAUUUUUUUUAUAAAACUUUAAUUAAUAUUUAAUUUUAAAAAUCAAAUUUUUUAUUGUAUUCAAAUACUUGGUAAUUAUUUGAAAUAACAUUGCACAAUUAUUCAUCUGUCAUCACAAAAAAAAAUCAAAUCAAUAUAGGCAAUACAUGAUUGAUAAUUAUAAGGUUCUUAUGAAAUUAUUGUGAUGGUGCCCUAAUCAGAGAACUCGUCUUGAAGGUACUUUACAACGUCUUUGUCAAGACUGAAUGCCUUUGUUAGAACAUUGACGUCGAUGGGAGGUUUGGAUCCGAACAAAGCAUCUGCAAUAGUGAUGACACCUGGAUUCUGGCUACUGAGUCCGGCGAUUGCCACGACAGGAUCAUUUCCGAGGUUUAUUUGAAAGUGGAUGAGACCGAUAGGGAAGGUGAAGACAUCACCCUUUUUGAGAACUUUGGAGAUAAAUCGGUUUUCUGGGUUGGAGGUGACAAAUCCCACUCCCAAUGUCCCCUCGAGCACAGUUAGGAGCUCGGUCGUACGAGGAUGGGUGUGAGGAGGAUUCAAGCCCCCAGGUUGAAAGUCGAUGCGAACUAGGGAGAUUCCAAGAGUGUUAAGACCAGGGAUCUGUGCAACAUUCACUGGUGUAUAUAACAAUUGACCCGACUCGACUUUUGCUGUUAUUUGCCUUGUCGAGACCAGAGAAGA
RNAcentral lists this long non-coding RNA (7375 nucleotides) under Zostera marina. Its description in RNAcentral is "long non-coding RNA (ZMAR_LNC003560)". Lineage: Eukaryota; Viridiplantae; Streptophyta; Magnoliopsida; Alismatales; Zosteraceae. The record is from RNAcentral.